Molecule: transfer RNA, 65 nt
Filed under: Anodontites trapesialis
Lineage: Eukaryota; Metazoa; Mollusca; Bivalvia; Unionida; Mycetopodidae
Description: tRNA-Thr
Source: RNAcentral
GCUUUGACGAAGCUAAUAAGCAUUGGUCUUGUAAACCAAAGACAAGAGUCUAACUCUCCAAAGCU